AUCGCUUCUCAACCUUUUGUUUAAGAUCAAGUGUUGUAUCUGUUCUUAUCAGUUUAAAAAAGUUAAACUGAGAAAACCUAAGAAGCUGAGAACUCCCAGACAGGGUCCAAGCCCCCAUUUACCUCCAACCCUGUCCUCCCUUUGCUCUCAGAUGACGAGGUCACAGUGGGCAAGUUUUACGCUACUUUCCUGAUCCAAGAGUAUUU
The sequence is a small nuclear RNA, 206 nucleotides long. Its record names the gene U2. It matches the Rfam family "U2 spliceosomal RNA". From Rfam's summary of the family: U2 is a small nuclear RNA (snRNA) component of the spliceosome (involved in pre-mRNA splicing). Complementary binding between U2 snRNA (in an area lying towards the 5' end but 3' to hairpin I) and the branchpoint sequence (BPS) of the intron results the bulging out of an unpaired adenosine, on the BPS, which initiates a nucleophilic attack at the intronic 5' splice site, thus starting the first of two transesterification reactions that mediate splicing. The record is from Ensembl.